GUUCUCUCCGAAAUAGCUUUAGGGCUAGCCUCAAGUGAUGAUUAUUGGAGGUAGAGCACUGUUUGGACGAGGGGCCCCUCUCGGGUUACCGAAUUCAGACAAACUCCGAAUGCCAAUUAAUUUAACUUGGGAGUCAGAACAUGGGUGAUAAGGUCCGUGUUCGAAAGGGAAACAGCCCAGACCACCAGCUAAGGUCCCAAAAUAUAUGUUAAGUGGAAAAGGAUGUGGCGUUGCCCAGACAACUAGGAUGUUGGCUUAGAAGCAGCCAUCAUUUAAAGAGUGCGUAAUAGCUCACUAGUCGAGUGACACUGCGCCGAAAAUGUACCGGGGCUAAACAUAUUACCGAAGCUGUGGAUUGUCCUUUGGACAAUGGUAGGAGAGCGUUCUAAGGGCGUUGAAGCAUGAUCGUAAGGACAUGUGGAGCGCUUAGAAGUGAGAAUGCCGGUGUGAGUAGCGAAAGACGGGUGAGAAUCCCGUCCACCGAUUGACUAAGGUUUCCAGAGGAAGGCUCGUCCGCUCUGGGUUAGUCGGGUCCUAAGCUGAGGCCGACAGGCGUAGGCGAUGGAUAACAGGUUGAU
This 578-nucleotide ribosomal RNA is filed under the name Staphylococcus aureus. Its description in RNAcentral is "partial 23S ribosomal RNA". It matches the Rfam family "Bacterial large subunit ribosomal RNA", at positions 852 to 1434 of the family's 2925-position model. The record is from RNAcentral. Lineage: Bacteria; Bacillati; Bacillota; Bacilli; Caryophanales; Staphylococcaceae.